This 253-nucleotide ribosomal RNA is filed under the name uncultured bacterium. RNAcentral's name for it is "partial 16S ribosomal RNA". It matches the Rfam family "Bacterial small subunit ribosomal RNA", at positions 524 to 776 of the family's 1533-position model. The record is from RNAcentral.
UACGUAGGGUGCGAGCGUUGUCCGGAAUUACUGGGCGUAAAGAGCUCGUAGGUGGUUUGUCGCGUUGUCCGUGAAAACUCACAACUCAAUUGUGGGCGUGCGGGCGAUACGGGCAGACUGGAGUACUGCAGGGGAGACUGGAAUUCCUGGUGUAGCGGUGAAAUGCGCAGAUAUCAGGAGGAACACCGGUGGCGAAGGCGGGUCUCUGGGCCAUAACUGACGCUGAGGAGCGAAAGCGUGGGGAGCGAACAGG